AUUAAGUUGGCAGAUUAAUUGUAUCAAAUUUAGAAUUUGAAAAUGGCUUAUGCCACUUGAUG
RNAcentral lists this transfer RNA (62 nucleotides) under Ornithodoros coriaceus. RNAcentral's name for it is "tRNA-Leu". Lineage: Eukaryota; Metazoa; Arthropoda; Arachnida; Ixodida; Argasidae. The record is from RNAcentral.